This 257-nucleotide long non-coding RNA is filed under the name Phoenix dactylifera (date palm). RNAcentral describes it as "long non-coding RNA (PDAC_LNC021231)". The record is from RNAcentral. Lineage: Eukaryota; Viridiplantae; Streptophyta; Magnoliopsida; Arecales; Arecaceae.
UCUGUUAUAUCUCCUGUCAAUUAUCUUCAGAAAGUAUGCACUUUGUACAGCACAAAUGGCAUACUUUAUCCAUAGAAACUACAUGACAUCAUGAAAGCAACAGAAGAACAAAGAAAGAAAACAAGAACAAUUCCUUCUCAAAACCGUCAGGCACUUCACAUUGUCUGGGUCUGGAAUGACUUUGCCCGGACGCCGGACCGGUAGCUGAACACUUAUACAUUUUUGCCCGAGAAGGCAAGAGUGGAAGAAUUGGCUUG